Molecule: long non-coding RNA, 665 nt
Organism: Coffea arabica (coffee)
Lineage: Eukaryota; Viridiplantae; Streptophyta; Magnoliopsida; Gentianales; Rubiaceae
Source: RefSeq, a predicted model, not a curated record
AUAAAUAAGUGAUUUCAUUCCGUUUAAGGCAUCAACUCAAGGGAGGUGAAAAGCUCAAUUGGAGAGAGAAUGGCUAAAACAUGGUGCGAAAAAACACUGAAAGAGGGAAAAGAGAAAAAUGACGAGGUGUUGAUCAGAAACGGCUAAGAAAGAAAAUGAAUCAGUGUUUGUGAGGCCAAUUUUGGUGCCGGUGUUUGCAUCGGUCUUAUCACUGGUAUUGGUCUGAUGAAGCGGAGGGCUAAAACCUGAAGGAACUCCGGCGCCGGUCUUAUCCCUGGUGUUAUCGCCCAUCUUUAUCGGGUCUUGCCGCACGCAUUUGUUUUAAAAUUGAAAGAUACUUAAUCCAAGGGGGAUUCACUUGUAACCUUUUAAAAACUAUAAAUAUGGGCUGUGUAGGACAUUUUUAGGGGUGGAAAACAUUAGUCUAGGUUAGUUUUAACAUCUUUUCAUAGAUUAUUCUGGAGAGAUCAAGGUCAAAUGAAAGCGAAUCAAUGGAGCGUGCAAGGAGAAGAUUGGAGCAAGCAAUUGAGAAGUUUUCUUACUUUGUUUCUUAUCUUUGUAGCAACUCUUUGAAUUCAUAGUUUUAAUUUCCAAAUCAUGUUGAACUAAAUUGUUUCUAGGGUUAGGGUUUUUGUGAAGGAAUUUGAUUAAUUCUUCUAGUUUAA